GAACGAACGUUAGUGGCGCGCUUAACACAUGCAAGUCGAACGAGAAAGGGCUCAGGCCCCGGUAAAGUGGCGCACGGGUGAGUAACACGUGGAUAAUUUCCCCUUAGGCGGGGGAUAACCUUCCGAAAGGAGGGCUAAUACCGCAUAAGACCACGUUUUCGCAAGAGAAUGAGGUAAAAGUUAGCCUCUAUAUAUAUGCUAACACCUGAGGAUAAGUCCGCGGCCCAUCAGCUAGUUGGUAGGGUAAUGGCCUACCAAGGCGAAGACGGGUAGCUGGUCUGAGAGGAUGAUCAGCCACACUGGAACUGAGACACGGUCCAGACUCCUACGGGAGGCAGCAGUGGGGAAUCUUGCGCAAUGGGCGAAAGCCUGACGCAGCGACGCCGCGUGAGUGAUGAAGGCCUUCGGGUUGUAAAGCUCUGUGGGAAAAGAAGAAUAAAUGCAAGCAAAUACCUUGCAUGAUGACGGUAUUUUCUUAGCAAGCACCGGCUAACUCUGUGCCAGCAGCCGCGGUAAGACAGAGGGUGCAAACGUUGUUCGGAAUUACUGGGCGUAAAGCGUGUGUAGGCAGCGAGAUAAGUCGGAUGUGAAAGCCCUAAGCUUAACUUAGGAAGUGCAUUCGAUACUGUUUCGCUAGAGUAUCGGAGAGGUUGGUGGAAUUCUCGGUGUAGAGGUGAAAUUCGUAGAUAUCGAGAGGAACAUCAGUGGCGAAGGCGGCCAACUGGACGAAUACUGACGCUGAGACACGAAAGCGUGGGGAGCAAACA
Molecule: ribosomal RNA, 767 nt
Filed under: uncultured delta proteobacterium
Lineage: Bacteria; Deltaproteobacteria
Description: bacterial SSU rRNA
Rfam family: Bacterial small subunit ribosomal RNA
Source: RNAcentral